AACGAACGCUGGCGGCGCGCCUAAUACAUGCAAGUCGAGCGAGAAGGUGUAGCAAUACACUUGUAAAGCGGCGAACGGGUGAGGAAUACAUGGGUAAUCUACCAUCGAGUGGGGAAUAACCAGCCGAAAGGUUGGCUAAUACCGCGUACGCCUCCGGAUCUUCGGGUUCGGAGGGAAAGCCACACUGUGAGUGCGGCGCUCUUUGAUGAGCUCAUGUCCUAUCAGCUUGUUGGUAGGGUAACGGCCUACCAAGGCUUUGACGGGUAGCUGGUCUGAGAGGACGAUCAGCCACACUGGCACUGCGACACGGGCCAGACUCCUACGGGAGGCAGCAGUAAGGAAUAUUGCGCAAUGGGCGAAAGCCUGACGCAGCGACGCCGCGUGGGGGAUGAAGGUCUUCGGAUUGUAAACCCCUUUCGGGAGGGAAGAUGGAGCGAGCAAUCGUUCGGACGGUACCUCCAGAAGCAGCCACGGCCAACUUCGUGCCAGCAGCCGAC
RNAcentral lists this ribosomal RNA (497 nucleotides) under uncultured bacterium. RNAcentral's name for it is "bacterial SSU rRNA". It matches the Rfam family "Bacterial small subunit ribosomal RNA", at positions 29 to 518 of the family's 1533-position model. The record is from RNAcentral.